CUCUGGGAAGGGGCCGGCUUGGCCGGCAGGGACCCUGGGGAGGGGGCCUUCCCUGUAUGGCGCCCAGCUGGGGACGCGUGGGAUGACCAGAGGCCUUUAUAUCUUGUCGCCUCGUGGAACACAGGAGUUUCUGUGUAUUUCCAAACUGAGCAAGACUGGUUAUAAAGAAUCUCGAACUGACAUACUGAUCCAGUAAGAUGAGAAAAUCAGGCUCAGAGAAAAUAAAUAGCUUUGCCCCAAGCCUCAGUUAGGGAGAGCCAGAGCCAGCAUGCAAACCCGAGACUGUCUACCAUUUUCCUUGGAACCAGGCAGAGAAGAAGGAAAAAGUUCUAUGGUCAGCUUGGGAUGCAGCAGCGAUUAAGACAAACCCAGUGGCACCGUGACAUGAGCAAGUGGGUUCUCUGGC
Molecule: long non-coding RNA, 406 nt
Organism: Prionailurus viverrinus (fishing cat)
Lineage: Eukaryota; Metazoa; Chordata; Mammalia; Carnivora; Felidae
Exons: 4
Source: RefSeq, a predicted model, not a curated record